ACUGCUCAGUAACACGUGGACAACCUACCCUCAGGAGGGGGAUAACCCCGGGAAACUGGGGAUAAUACCCCAUAGACCAGGGAUGCUGGAAUGCCUCCUGGUUCAAAGGUCCGCCGCCUGAGGAUGGGUCUGCGGCCGAUUAGGUUGUUGUUGGGGUAACGGCCCAACAAGCCUUUGAUCGGUACGGGUUGUGAGAGCAAGAGCCCGGAGAUGGAUUCUGAGACACGAAUCCAGGCCCUACGGGGCGCAGCAGGCGCGAAAACUUUACAAUGCGAGAAAUCGUGAUAAGGGAACCCCGAGUGCCCGUAAAUUCGGGCUGUCCGCCAGUGCAAAUAGCUGGUGAAGAAAGGGCCGGGCAAGACCGGUGCCAGCAGCCGCGGUAAUACGAU
Molecule: ribosomal RNA, 389 nt
Filed under: uncultured archaeon
Lineage: Archaea
Description: bacterial SSU rRNA
Rfam family: Archaeal small subunit ribosomal RNA
Source: RNAcentral